UAAAAGGGUGCUUGCCUUGUUACGCUUCUGUAUGGCACAUCUGUGCGGUGCCGUGCUGGUUGAGUCCAGCCCGGUGUCCGUUCCGGUGGGGUAUGGCCAUCAAGACAUAUCCAGCACGUAAUUUUUGACCUCCGAGGGCUGUUGACUCGCUCCUACUCUGCGUCGACGCCUUC
This is a non-coding RNA of Anopheles stephensi (Asian malaria mosquito), 173 nucleotides long. The record is from Rfam. Lineage: Eukaryota; Metazoa; Arthropoda; Insecta; Diptera; Culicidae.